AGAACAAGUAUAGCACAAGCAGUGGCAGUCCAAGUUUUUGCUACCAGACUCUAACCAGUGUAUCAGAAAGGGAUCUUCUUUAGAGCAAAGAUGCUGGUUGCAACAAUAAUUUUUCUGAGAGGAACCUGCCCACGAGGACCUGGACUGAGUUUACGAGCCAACCUAUUUCAUAUGAGCUCCAGUAGAGAUGACAAAGGCAUGGAGCGACGUAGAGAUCCAUUGUGUUGACUGCUGGAGAUGACGUACUUUAAAUUAUAGGUUUUUGCUGGGGUGACCUGGAACUAAGCAGAAUGCUUGCUGGAUGAAGUCAACACUGAAGAUGUUCUUGAUUAUGUUACAGAAUGCCACAGCCUCUGAAUAUAGACAAGGAGUAUGGAGAACCAGGAGACUGGAACACAAAUAAAGUAUAUUCCAGAACAGGUUUAAAAUAGAAAAAUAUUUUAUCUGGCCAGACAUAAAUUCAGAGUUUACUUCUGUAGAAACCCAAUGCCCAGACAUCUUAUUCUUUUAACAGCUUCAUUUUCAAUAGGUAUUUAUUUAUGAGUAUGGCUAGAUUGGGUUACCACUAAUGCUUCCUACUUCUGCAGAAAAAAAGAUAUUUCUUCUCAGGUAGAUUGUGUGAAUAGCUCAAGUUAUGACUGUGAAUAACUUCUGUUCCACAGGGGAUAUAUUCAUUGGAUAGGUCUACUGGCUUAAUUAUAUAGAGUAAUUUAUAUGCUCCUUUAUAACCAGGGCAGUCAUAUAUUGUGCAGUAUUCAGAACAAAUAGUGAUCUUGUGCAUGUUGCAGUUUUCAAGGAAUCAUUUCUGAUAGGAUCACAGACCUCAGAGAAGGCCAAGUAGUGUGCAUAUAGAAAGAAAAGUUCCCAAAGGCGUCUGCUGCUUUAUUUGAGUGAUUCCUGCCCCAUCCUGUCUUUCCUUUUACUGAUCACCCCCACCCAAGAGUACUGAUGCUGGUGGAAUGCCCAGAAUAUGCAGUCUGACUAUGUAAUGUUAAGAGACAAUCUGGAAUAAGGGAUUUUGUCAGCUGUUGCUUGGAGGAAUAAAAAAUAAAUUUGAAUCUUGAAUGUUACACUGUUACUUA
This is a long non-coding RNA of Alligator sinensis (Chinese alligator), 1082 nucleotides long. RefSeq lists it as uncharacterized. Lineage: Eukaryota; Metazoa; Chordata; Crocodylia; Alligatoridae. The record is from RefSeq and is a predicted model, not a curated record. The transcript is spliced from 4 exons.